This 137-nucleotide microRNA precursor is filed under the name Pelobates cultripes (western spadefoot toad). The record is from RNAcentral. Lineage: Eukaryota; Metazoa; Chordata; Amphibia; Anura; Pelobatidae.
CACUCCACUGCUCAAUAACAUGUGCGCCAAUUUAUAUAUAUAUAUAUAUAUAUAUAUAUAUAUAUUAUUUUUUAAAAUUAUAUAUAUAUAUAUAUAUAUAUAUAAAUUGGCCGCACAUGUUAUUGAGCAGUGGCAUA